CCCCCAAUAAUUAAUAACAUAUAAUAAUUUAUGUUCCAAAAGAAAUCCAUUACUUCGCUGAUCAAUAUGUCGUGACAGUAAAAUCUAACACCGGAAAUAGCCCUAGAAUUUGCCAUAUGCAACUUCUCCAAACCAAUAAGUGUUCUAAACUAAUCCUGCAUUUCAUCAACAUUUGUCAAAUAAUAUUUUCUAUUAAAAUCCUUGGUUAG
Molecule: long non-coding RNA, 209 nt
Filed under: Elaeis guineensis (African oil palm)
Lineage: Eukaryota; Viridiplantae; Streptophyta; Magnoliopsida; Arecales; Arecaceae
Description: long non-coding RNA (EGUI_LNC039322)
Source: RNAcentral